GAGAAAGCCUUGGAACUGCAGCAUCAGGCGAUAUAUCAAUCGUUUCCCUUAAUUUUGCAAUGACUUCGCUUAUCGUUGGUCUCUUCCUUAUAUUUUCUUCAAGGCAUUCUUCAAUUACCACACAGAUAGCCAUAAGCUCAUUAUUUUUGAAAGACUUGAGUGUUGGAUCAACCAAGGAGCUCACAUUCGUCUUAUCUUUAAGGUAUUGCUCCGCCCAGUUCAGAAGAGACCCUUGUUCUUCUGAAUAAGGUGACUUUCCAGAAAUUAUUUCUAGUAACAGAAUCCCAAAACUAUAGAUAUUUGUUUCAGGAUCAGCAAGCGCCGGCAGCUCAGAAUUUUCUAAAUCAUCCCUCGAGUCCUUAGACUUGGCUAUUAGUUCUGACCAGAAAUCAAUCUCUGUAAUCUUAGCAGCAUAAUCGUCAGUCAAAAAUAUGGCAUUUGAAUUCAAGCUGGAAUGGGGCACUGGAGGAUUCAGAUCAUGCAUGUACUGAAGACAAUAUGCUGUUCCCAUUAUGGCUCUCACCCUUGCAGACCAGUCAAGAGGAUCGGUUUCUUUAACAUGUAGAUGCUCAGAAAGAGUUCCAUUUGGAGCAUAC
RNAcentral lists this unclassified non-coding RNA (596 nucleotides) under Hevea brasiliensis (rubber tree). Lineage: Eukaryota; Viridiplantae; Streptophyta; Magnoliopsida; Malpighiales; Euphorbiaceae. The record is from RNAcentral.